UACAGAGGGUGCGAGCGUUGUCCGGAAUCACUGGGCGUAAAGGGCGCGUAGGUGGCUUGCCAAGCGUGUGGUGAAAGCCCGGAGCUCAACUCCGGGUCUGCCAUGCGAACUGGCAGGCUUGAGCACGGUAGAGGCCAAUGGAAUUCCGGGUGUAGCGGUGGAAUGCGCAGAUAUCAGGAGGAACACCAAUUGCGAAGGCAGCUCGCUGGGACGUUACUGACGCUGAUGCACGAAAGCUAGGGGAGCAAACAGG
This 253-nucleotide ribosomal RNA is filed under the name uncultured bacterium. RNAcentral's name for it is "partial 16S ribosomal RNA". It matches the Rfam family "Bacterial small subunit ribosomal RNA", at positions 524 to 776 of the family's 1533-position model. The record is from RNAcentral.